This 1416-nucleotide ribosomal RNA is filed under the name Staphylococcus pseudintermedius. RNAcentral describes it as "bacterial SSU rRNA". It matches the Rfam family "Bacterial small subunit ribosomal RNA". Lineage: Bacteria; Bacillati; Bacillota; Bacilli; Caryophanales; Staphylococcaceae. The record is from RNAcentral.
UGCAGUCGAGCGAACAGAUAAGGAGCUUGCUCCUUUGACGUUAGCGGCGGACGGGUGAGUAACACGUGGGUAACCUACCUAUAAGACUGGAAUAACUCCGGGAAACCGGGGCUAAUGCCGGAUAACAUGUUGAACCGCAUGGUUCUACAGUGAAAGACGGUCUUGCUGUCACUUAUAGAUGGACCCGCGCCGUAUUAGCUAGUUGGUGGGGUAACGGCCUACCAAGGCGACGAUACGUAGCCGACCUGAGAGGGUGAUCGGCCACACUGGAACUGAGACACGGUCCAGACUCCUACGGGAGGCAGCAGUAGGGAAUCUUCCGCAAUGGGCGAAAGCCUGACGGAGCAACGCCGCGUGAGUGAUGAAGGUCUUCGGAUCGUAAAGCUCUGUUGUUAGGGAAGAACAAAUGUGUAAGUAACUGUGCACAUCUUGACGGUACCUAACCAGAAAGCCACGGCUAACUACGUGCCAGCAGCCGCGGUAAUACGUAGGUGGCAAGCGUUAUCCGGAAUUAUUGGGCGUAAAGCGCGCGUAGGCGGUUUUUUAAGUCUGAUGUGAAAGCCCACGGGCUCAACCCGUGGAGGGUCAAUUGGAAACUGGAAAACUUGAGUGCAGAAGAGGAAAGUGGAAUUUCCAUGUGUAGCGGUGAAAUGCGCAGAGAUAUGGAGGAACACCAGUGGCGAAGGCGGCUUUCUGGUCUGCAACUGACGCUGAUGUGCGAAAGCGUGGGGAUCAAACAGGAUUAGAUACCCUGGUAGUCCACGCCGUAAACGAUGAGUGCUAAGUGUUAGGGGGUUUCCGCCCCUUAGUGCUGCAGCUAACGCAUUAAGCACUCCGCCUGGGGGAGUACGGUCGCAAGACUGAAACUCAAAGGAAUUGACGGGGACCCGCACAAGCGGUGGAGCAUGUGGUUUAAUUCGAAGCAACGCGAAGAACCUUACCAAAUCUUGACAUCCUUUGACCGCUCUAGAGAUAGAGUUUUCCUCUUCGGAGGACAAAGUGACAGGUGGUGCAUGGUUGUCGUCAGCUCGUGUCGUGAGAUGUUGGGUUAAGUCCCGCAACGAGCGCAACCCUUGAACUUAGUUGCCAUCAUUCAGUUGGGCACUCUAAGUUGACUGCCGGUGACAAACCGGAGGAAGGUGGGGAUGACGUCAAAUCAUCAUGCCCCUUAUGAUUUGGGCUACACACGUGCUACAAUGGACAAUACAAAGGGCAGCGAAACCGCGAGGUCAAGCAAAUCCCAUAAAGUUGUUCUCAGUUCGGAUUGUAGUCUGCAACUCGACUACAUGAAGCUGGAAUCGCUAGUAAUCGUAGAUCAGCAUGCUACGGUGAAUACGUUCCCGGGUCUUGUACACACCGCCCGUCACACCACGAGAGUUUGUAACACCCGAAGCCGGUGGAGUAACCAUUUUGGAG